This is a long non-coding RNA of Haemorhous mexicanus (house finch), 2537 nucleotides long. RefSeq lists it as uncharacterized. The record is from RefSeq and is a predicted model, not a curated record. The transcript is spliced from 2 exons. Lineage: Eukaryota; Metazoa; Chordata; Aves; Passeriformes; Fringillidae.
CCUCUGUCAUUUCAACUAUGUGUCCCAUGGGAGAGGGGACUUUGCUGUUUUAUAUCAACAGUACUGUUUUGUACAGUGAGGGAUGCUACUGAGAGCUCUGCAUCACUCACGUUUUUGAGGGAGAAUGUCACAGGUGACACAAAGAGCUGAUGGCGUUUGGAAAUUGUGCUGUAAACAAAUGGGCAGGACUUCCAAAAGAGGACAGAUGUUCUGUCAACCUUGGAAGAUAAUUCUGUUUCAUCUUCAGCUUACAUAGAUGUCUGGCAUUUUUGCAGAAUAUGCUGGAAAGUGAAAGUGUGAUAAGAUGUGUUUUCACUCCUAAUUCUCUGUAAACACAGGUGGUGCUUGGCAGCUCUCAUGAGAUGUUUUUUUUGUGGUGCCUGUACUUCAGUCUGAACAACUAAACUUGGAAUAUUUUUUUCAUAGUUCAUAUCUUAAUUCAUAAUAAAUCCUAUUUUCUACGGAAGACUUGAGCUGACAUGAUUCAGCAAUUGCAAAGACUGGAUUUGACAGAAUUUUGUUUGCCUAGCUCAGAGUCUGAAAACUUUCUCUGAAGAGUUCCAUCAUUCUGGUGGUCUGUGACAGCAGCCUGACUCUGGCUUACCAUGAAGGGGUGACCUGAAGCUGUGUUUUCUGUUGUGUCGUAAAGAAGGUUGUUCAUUUGAACUUGCAGGAAAUAGAUAGGAAAUUCUGUGCUAGACCCCUUUAAAAAUACUAAAUACUAUAAAAUGUGUAUAUUAUUUAUGGGGAAUGUGCAGUAGCACAAACCUGCACACUUCCUUACCUGUUGCAGCUUUGCACUGUCACACUCUUGGGCCCUCAGUGAAUCUGAUUGUUUAUUCCCAGUGUAUGGUCACUGCUUGCAAAGUGAAUAGAGUUAGGGAUGAGGGGGGUAUAAUUUCAACCUCCUUCACAAGAACCCAGCUGGAAGAGGAAGGAAAGCUGUAUGAUUAACUAGAAGGUGGAAGGUCUGAAGUGCAAAAGGAGAGGGAGGAUGAAAGUUGGUAGAUGCAGAUCUUGUGUGAAGAGAAGGAUUAGGAGAUGUUUAGGACAAAUGAGUAGUGUCUGAGAGAGACUGAGUCCAGCAAAAUUGGGUGGCUGCAAGGGGACUGACCAGUAUGAUGGCGGAAAAGACCUAGCAGGAGAAUUCAGCUAGAGCUUAGGGGUCAAGAGUCUAUUGUCGGGAAAAAAAAUUAGUAUUUGGGAUUGGAAUAUGGAGGCAGAGUUGGAGAGUUGGGAAAGAUUGUGCCGAUGACUUUGGGGCAGCCUCCAGACAAGGCAGUGGGCAACUUGCUCUGUCUGACCGUGCUUUGAGCAAGGCAUUUCAUGAGAGAGACCAAAAGUGUCUUCCAGCCUCAGCCCUUCUGUAGCAGGGCAGGCUAUGAAAAUGUCAUUGUUUCAGUACAUCGUUCCAUUAGCAGCAAAACUUCAUAACUUUAUUAUAGGUUUGAGUCUGAGAUGUAUUUCUUCAUUGCUGUACUGUUCUCAAGCAUGCAGAAAAUCUGCUUUGCUCCUUUAUGCCCUUUACUCCACCCAUGUGACAAGAAGUGAUGUCAUGUCCCAUCUGGUGGGGCAGCUGUCUGAUAUCCAGCAUGCUGGAUAAAAGCUUUUGUUGCAGUCCUUUCCUCUAUAAGACCAUAAUUCUCCUCUUGUUUUAUGAAAACUGGCAUUUUCUUUUAGGAAGAACAUCAUCUUCGAGACUUCUCAAACUCAGUUGACAUUGACCAGUUGGCUUUAGAGCAAAGUUUUAGAAGUCUAGCAGAAAGCCAGGAUGAUGGUAGAUCAUGUGACAAGCACUGUUCUUAAUAAAUAAGGAAAAAGUAGUAGAAGAGCAUCUUGAGACAGGAGGAAAUUACAGGCACAUUCUAUGAUGACAAAGUCCCAUUAAGUCUUAUCCCUGACCUGUGUGUGCUUCUUUGGUUUGUCUUUGGAGACUAAACCAGUAACUUACUACUUUGUUGCAAUAGAGCUAUUGCACCUCAGGUGCAGAGUGUAAAAAUGAGAACAAUCAAGAUACACUUUUAUUUUUUGAUUAUUAUUGUUUGAAUGAAAAUUGUCUUCUAUGCAGCUUAUAUUUUAAGGAACCAAGCCACUACUAGUAAGCAAAGGGAUUUCACUUUUCUUUCACUUUUAACACUUAAUUUCACAUUUUGGUCCUCCUUUACUGCACCUGCUAAAGCCAAUAAAAAUGAUGAAACUUAAAACAAUCUGCCAAUUUCCUUGAGAAGCAAGUCCUAUUUUUCUUUUCCUGAUGCAGAAGAUGACUCCGAAUUAGGUUUUAUGCAGUGGGUGGGUAGCUGAGAAGGAAAGUGGAGAACAGGCAGAAGAGGAUGUGUAUCUACUGGCAGAAAUGAUCACACUCUGGAUUUAGACAAUUUCUGUUGUUCCUUUUUCCUCACAGAUUAACAAAAAUAUGUGUCAGCAAACACAUAUCCUUAUCAUAUCUUACUGUUUCAUGCAAUGAUCUAUGUAUUUUAAAAAUAAAAAUCUCAACUUGUUUUAUGGUCCAAUAUUCCAUUCAAGAGUAGUAAUUCCAA